UGGCUCAGAGGUUAAAGCAUCUGCCUGAUAUGCAGGAGGCCCAGGUUCGAUCCCUAG
Ovis aries (sheep) is the source of this 57-nucleotide transfer RNA. It matches the Rfam family "tRNA", at positions 8 to 63 of the family's 71-position model. From Rfam's summary of the family: Transfer RNA (tRNA) molecules are approximately 80 nucleotides in length. Their secondary structure includes four short double-helical elements and three loops (D, anti-codon, and T loops). The record is from Rfam. NCBI's taxonomy places the organism in Eukaryota, Metazoa, Chordata, Mammalia, Artiodactyla, Bovidae.